Molecule: regulatory RNA element, 118 nt
Organism: Microlunatus phosphovorus NM-1
Lineage: Bacteria; Bacillati; Actinomycetota; Actinomycetes; Propionibacteriales; Propionibacteriaceae
Rfam family: mraW RNA
Source: Rfam
GACAGCGCGUGCGGCGAGGCUUCAACCCGCAGGUCCGUUUGCCCUGGCACACCUUCCCCGGUGCCAGGUCAGAUGAGGCGGGUCUCGGGUUGAAACCUGGCGGUACGCGCUGACUGUC